RNAcentral lists this transfer RNA (40 nucleotides) under Trichonephila clavata. RNAcentral's name for it is "tRNA-Met". The record is from RNAcentral. Lineage: Eukaryota; Metazoa; Arthropoda; Arachnida; Araneae; Nephilidae.
UCAGCUAAUUAAGCUAAUGGGUUCAUACCUCAUAAAUGAA